CUCCAGCUCGACCGGGACACCGAGCCCCCGUCUUCCACUGGUUCCUUUUUUACAGAAAUACGCCAACGUCAGCAACAAGAAGCAUUCUGUGUUGAAGCUGGACCGAAGGAGAUCCGGGAGCAGCAGGAUCUACUUUCCGCUUCAUGAACUUCCUGAAGCAGGAAGGAGCCGUGCAUGAUGCUGCAGUUCUGCCUCACCGUGGAGGAGUUCAACGAUAAGAUCUGAGUCCUGAUUCUGGAGUGACUCUGAGCAGCAGCGUAUUGCACGAGAGGUCGUUCACAUCUACGAGACGUACUGCCUCGAGGAGAGCAUCGACAAGAUCAGCUGUCGACCCCUUCAUCGUGGACGAGAUCAGGGAACUUGCUAUAGGUCCGUACGGGCGGCGUGGUGAAGCUGCAGAAGAUGCACUGCCUGUUUAAGCGUACGAACACGUGCUGUCUCUGCUGGGAGAGGUCUUCCCCCCAUGUUCGCCCACAGUGA
Notothenia coriiceps (black rockcod) is the source of this 480-nucleotide long non-coding RNA. RefSeq lists it as uncharacterized. The record is from RefSeq and is a predicted model, not a curated record. Lineage: Eukaryota; Metazoa; Chordata; Actinopteri; Perciformes; Nototheniidae. The transcript is spliced from 4 exons.